GCCUGGGUGGCUCAGUGGUUGAGCAUCUGCCUUUGGCUCAGGACGUGUUCCUAGAGUUCCGGGAUCGAGUCCCGCCUCGGGCU
RNAcentral lists this transfer RNA (83 nucleotides) under Canis lupus familiaris (dog). It matches the Rfam family "tRNA". Rfam says of the family: Transfer RNA (tRNA) molecules are approximately 80 nucleotides in length. Their secondary structure includes four short double-helical elements and three loops (D, anti-codon, and T loops). RNAcentral also lists the same sequence under 1 other name. Lineage: Eukaryota; Metazoa; Chordata; Mammalia; Carnivora; Canidae. The record is from Rfam by way of RNAcentral.